Molecule: ribosomal RNA, 484 nt
Filed under: uncultured bacterium
Lineage: Bacteria
Description: partial 16S ribosomal RNA
Rfam family: Bacterial small subunit ribosomal RNA
Source: RNAcentral
AUUGAACGCUGGCGGCAGGCCUAACACAUGCAAGUCGAGCGGAUGAAGGGAGCUUGCUCCUGGAUUCAGCGGCGGACGGGUGAGUAAUGCCUAGGAAUCUGCCUGGUAGUGGGGGAUAACGUCAGGAAACGGGAGCUAAUACCGCAUACGUCCUGAGGGAGAAAGUGGGGGAUCUACGGACCUCACGCUAUCAGAUGAGCCUAGGUCGGAUUAGCUAGUUGGUGGGGUAAAGGCCUACCAAGGCGACGAUCCGUAACUGGUCUGAGAGGAUGAUCAGUCACACUGGAACUGAGACACGGUCCAGACUCCUACGGGAGGCAGCAGUGGGGAAUAUUCGACAAUGGGCGAAAGCCUGAUCCAGCCAUGCCGCGUGUGUGAAGAAGGUCUUCGGAUUGUAAAGCACUUUAAGUUGGGAGGAAGGGCAGUAAGUUAAUACCUUGCUGUUUUGACGUUACCAACAGAAUAAGCACCGGCUAACUUCGUG